This 758-nucleotide long non-coding RNA is filed under the name Mus pahari (shrew mouse). RNAcentral describes it as "predicted gene 20617 (MGP_PahariEiJ_G0004961.1)". Lineage: Eukaryota; Metazoa; Chordata; Mammalia; Rodentia; Muridae. The record is from RNAcentral.
UCUGGGAUCUCGUGACCUUUCCUAGAUCAACUACCAUUGUCUCCUGAGUGGUUCAAGACCAAGAAAUGCCCUCUUGUCACUGUCUCAUAGCCUGUAACGAGACACUUUCCAUUACCCGAGUCAUCUGCAGUCAGUCAGAAGUGGUGAAGCCUUCUGAGAACUCCAAAUGGAGAGAAAUGGUCUAAUUAAAACGAACUCACUUGGAGGAAGAAGGGCUCUGUGCCGGAAACUGGACUGUCGACACUCGGAGUAUUAGAAAAGAGCAUCUUAGAUCAUUUUCUGAGUCCAAGAAAGACAUGCUAAGGAUAAUUUCUUCUCUAAGUCACAUUUGUAAAACCCAAGUGUUCUCCUUUUUACUUUAAUGGUUCAGUGUUAUUAGCAAAAUGGUUACAAAGCAAUCUAGCGAAUCUUCUUAGGGUUUCUUCACUGCACGUUUUAUAUGAGGAGCCAAUCAGGAAAUGGGAUGUAAGUUGUCUUAACAGUAGAAUGUUUCAAUUUUAUGCAUUCUAAUGUUCAGCCUACGUGAGAAUUGAAAUGUUUCUCAUUUUUAUAAAUCACGUUUUAUUAUCUUUCACGUUGAUCUCAGUAAUUUUAUCUUUUUCUCCCUUACUCUUAAAAUAGAGUUCAAAUUGGUAAAGAACNUCGGUUCUUCUUAUANGGUGGAACAGAGAUUUAUUAUCAGGCAAAGGCCGAGUCUGCGUUGAACCUAAUGCUGCUGUCAUAAUCUGAAGUUUUUGAAGUAAUACGUUUUUUCUUUU